RNAcentral lists this ribosomal RNA (478 nucleotides) under uncultured bacterium. RNAcentral describes it as "partial 16S ribosomal RNA". It matches the Rfam family "Bacterial small subunit ribosomal RNA", at positions 28 to 523 of the family's 1533-position model. The record is from RNAcentral.
GACGAACGCUGGCGGCGUGCUUAACACAUGCAAGUCGAACGGUAAGGCCCUUCGGGGUACACGAGUGGCGGACGGGUGAGUAACACGUGGGUGAUCUGCCCUGCACUUCGGGAUAAGCCUGGGAAACUGGGUCUAAUACCGGAUAGGACCCUGGGAUGCAUGUCCUGGGGUGGAAAGCUUUUGCGGUGUGGGAUGGGCCCGCGGCCUAUCAGCUUGUUGGUGGGGUGAUGGCCUACCAAGGCGACGACGGGUAGCCGGCCUGAGAGGGUGACCGGCCACACUGGGACUGGGAUACGGCCCAGACUCCUACGGGAGGCAGCAGUGGGGAAUAUUGCACAAUGGGCGCAAGCCUGAUGCAGCGACGCCGCGUGAGGGAUGACUGCCUUCGGGUUGUAAACCUCUUUCAGCACCGACGAAGCGCAAGUGACGGUAGGUGCAGAAGAAGGACCGGCCAACUACGUGCCAGCCGCCGCGGUAA